Macrobrachium nipponense is the source of this 2082-nucleotide long non-coding RNA. RefSeq lists it as uncharacterized. The record is from RefSeq and is a predicted model, not a curated record. Lineage: Eukaryota; Metazoa; Arthropoda; Malacostraca; Decapoda; Palaemonidae. The transcript is spliced from 2 exons.
AGGACCUCAGGUUUGUAUAGUUAGGAAAAAUGCAAUUUUGGACAAAUUGUCAUUUUUAAAUAAGAUUUAAGCAAUAUAUACUGUAUUACUUAAAUUUUGUAAGUGUUCCUUUAGGCUAAUUAUUAUUUUAAUAUUUUUUUGGCAAGUUCUCUUAGGGUACAAUGAUUUUUUUCAAAUUUUCUAUUGUAACACUUGAAACAUUAUAAACCCAUGCAUCUAGUUUUCUGAGACUUGCCUACAAAUUCUGUACAAAGUUAAACUUUGUCGAAGUUAUUUUUUUAUUAAAUUUUGCUGAUGGUUACUGUUUCAUAAACUUGGUCAAGGGCUCAAAUUGUUGCAAAGAACCAUUAGAAGUGUUUACAAGAUGAAAUGUUACUAUGACUAGAUGAUCAUUCACAAAAGGUGGAGGGCCUAAACACUGCCAGUAUUGUGUGAUUUACUGCAAUAUUUGUUGGCUAUUUGGUAUUGUUGGUGUCCUUGAAGUUGCCUCCAAACAAUAUGAUAUUUUACUAUGUACAGAAAUUGUGGUUUUUCUACUGAGGUACUAAUCCAAACUACUCAUUACAGGCUUCACUAAACCAGUACAUAUUUCAUUAAUGUAAUGCUUUCUUAAGGCAAGGGGAAUGGCAGUGUAUAAUAGAAAUUAGUACCCAGCUUCUCAUAAGACCACUUAUGAAUGUGGGUGCAACGAGAUUUCAAGUUACAAAGUUUUAUGGCUUGUAUGAUAACUUGUUUCAUCAAUCACAGUCACAACUUAGAUGGCAACAUCUUCAAUUGUCAUCUUAUCAUGGCUAAAAUUAAAGAAGAUAGUAAUGUUUCUUUUGUUGAUUUCAAUGAUCACCAAAUGGAUUAGUUGAUUCUUUUUCACCUGAUUGCUAUGGCCCAAGAACUUUUGACUUCAUUUCUAAAUCUGGCUGAGAAAAUGAGAAAUAAAAAGCCUUUUACACGUCUUGUAAUUGCUGCUUGAAUCUAGUAUUCACCAAUUUCUAGGUGGUAUAACCUGAUAAAAGCCUGUUUUUGUGGGGUGAUGUUUCUCUCCCAUGCCAAACACUUGCAUAUACGUAUAUAUAAAUGUGUAUGUGAGCGAGACAUUCAAGAUCCUUUGGUUGAGGGAAACUUAUUUCUGUGCAAGUCAAAUGUCUCCUUCCUAUUUUUAUAUUAAAAGCCAUUAUAAGGUUUUUAAGUGGAAAACCGGGAUUGAAAUACCAUUUUCUGCCAUCUUGUUUUGUUGAUAGAAAGAACAUUGUAGGUGAAAUAACAUUGAGAAUUAGCUGAUUAAAUAGUAUGAAGCAAAUUAUUCAGGUAUAGUUAGACAAGAUAGAACAAAUUUCACUUGCUCUGAAUAAAUGUUCACUUGCUCUGACAUUAGAUUUAUUUCUCAUCGGGCAUCUUUUCUUUUCUCUAGCUCUUUUAGGAAUUCCCACACCAGAUCUCAUGGAAUUCCCGAAGCUGACGUUGUCAGGAGAUCUUCUGAGCGAGAGGCUGGAGAAGUCAGCUUAGAGGAGGGUGAACUCAGUGAAGAUGAAUUAGAGAAGAAGCGAGCACAACUUAUGAAGGAAUUAGAAAAUAUAAAUUAGUUCAUUUAUAUUAAAAAUGGUUUAGCUUUAGGGGUUUCUUUUGAUAAAAUUGUAUUUUGCCUCUAUUGUAAACUGAUGUCAGUCUCUUCAUAGUUCAAAAGUAAGCGUUGGGUAUAAGGAGUAAUGUUAAGUAGUUACAUUAAGUUGUGUAACUUAAUGAAGUUCAAAAUACAUUGUAUUAAUUUUGCUUGUUCCUCUGUAUAUUUUUUGGUAUACUAAACAUCACAAGACUAAUUUAUGUAAAACUGUUAUAUCAGAGAUAUGAUAAUGACAAAUCCUAAAACAGCAGUAGUCAUAGAUAAAUUUUUAUCCCAUUACUGGAAGUUAAUGCUACACCAACUUCCAUUAUAUUUUAAUACCCAGGUACUACACUUUAUUUUGGAAUGGGGAUUGUGAUCCUGUUAUACUGCAAGAAAUUUGAUACAUAUCUACUUCAUUGUGCUAAAUUUUUAAAACAUUAUUAAUGACAAUAUUAAUUGACAAUGCAAUAAAGCAUAGUUCUAUA